GACGAACGCUGGCGGCGUGCUUAACACAUGCAAGUCGAACGGAAAGUCCCUGCUUUUGUGGGGUGCUCGAGUGGCGAACGGGUGAGUAACACGUUAGUAACCUGCCCUUGACUUUGGGAUAACUUCAGGAAACUGGGGCUAAUACCGGAUAGGAGCUCCUGCUGCAUUGUGGGGGUUGGAAAGUUUCGGCGGUUGGGGAUGGACUCGCGGCUUAUCAGCUUGUUGGUGGGGUAGUGGCUUACCAAGGCUUUGACGGGUAGCCGGCCUGAGAGGGUGACCGGCCACAUUGGGACUGAGAUACGGCACAGACUCCUACGGGAGGCAGAAGUGGGGAAUAUUGCACAAUGGGCGGAAGCCUGAUGCAGCAACGCCGCGUGCGGGAUGACGGCCUUCGGGUUGUAAACCGCUUUCGCCUGUGACGAAGCGUGAGUGACGGUAAUGGGUAAAGAAGCACCGGCUAACUACGUG
This 468-nucleotide ribosomal RNA is filed under the name uncultured bacterium. Its description in RNAcentral is "partial 16S ribosomal RNA". It matches the Rfam family "Bacterial small subunit ribosomal RNA", at positions 28 to 507 of the family's 1533-position model. The record is from RNAcentral.